CAAACUUCGCCUGGCACUCCCUGAUUUACUUUGCCCCACCCUUGCAACUGAGUCUGCUAAUCUGCAGAAUGUUAAAGUCGAUCUUUGCAAUUACUUUUCUAGGGCUGUGUUUUCAGUCUUCAAAUAUCCUCCAGGCUGAGUUUGUCUUAUUCCACACACCAAAAACCUGGCAUGAAGUGCAGAGCAUUUGCAGGGACAAUUGCUUUGACCUGGCCACCAUCAAUGAUAUGGAAGAGAUGGCAAAAGUACUUGAAGCUGUCAAAGAUCAAUAUGAUUCUGCCGUGUGGAUCGGGCUUUGGAGAGGCAACACAUUUAAGUGGCACUGGUCUCUGGCAGACAAAGAAUUCUACAAAGAGGGAGAGAGAAAUUAUUUUAUUUGGAGCUUUUUGAAUGACAAUUUCAACUGUGGAUCUUACAAAUACGGGACACUGAGAGCAAACAACUGUGGAAAUUCUAUUUAUUUCAUUUGCUUUGAUGAAACACAACAAGGUAAAGAUCAGUACAUCCUUAUUACACAAAGUAAAGCUUGGAUUGCUGCUCGUGACUACUGCAGAACACACUACACAGACCUGACCAGUUUAAGGAAUGACGCUGAGUACCAGGUGAUCCAGGAAGUAGCCAGUGGCUUUGAGGUCUGGGUUGGCCUCUUCAGAGACCCCUGGGAGUGGUCAGACCAAAGUGACUCGUCGUUCAGAUACUGGAAAGCAAACAAACCAGUGUAGACUGAGCGUUACAACUGUGGUGCCUUGGUGAAGCUGGAAUCAGGAAGAUGGGAUGAACUGGCUUGUGAGGACACAUAUCCAUUCCUCUGUGACUGCAGAAUAAAGUUGAGGAUCAUUAAUAUAAGGUUGAGCUCACAGGAUUCAGUGUCAGAACUCAAAAAGUCUUUAGUACAAGAAAACAUGUUGGAGCAAAUGAAGCAGCAACUAAGGAAUAAGAAUGUGAGCGCAAAUAUUCAACUAGAGUGGAGAAAACAAGAUGAUGGGAGAGUUUUUAUCAAUGAACCCUAAAGAAACAGCUGACGAGAGAAGAAUCUGGCCAACAGACUGUUUUUGAAUAUUGAAUACAUCAUAUAUAGAAGUAAUCAGUAGAAAAGAUAAAUUAUUUUGGAUUUAAUAAUUGUUUUGUUCUGUUUUUUGUUGGUGGUGGGUUUGUUUGUUUUUUCAGAAAUUCUAAUGUUUUUCAGUUCCCAUUUACAAACACAAUUUUCUUAAACUCCUGGACAUGCCAAGACUCAGCCUGAGAAAGUAAAAAUGGUAUAUGUAGGUACUGGAUCUGAAAAGGGAAGCUAAAGCAGAACUCCAUUAAAUCUGCAGGGGGUGAGUCCUCCGGUUGGAAAAAGAGGGGGGGAGGAGUCAGGCCACAUAGAAAUCUGUGAUGAAAAUCCCAUAGGCUUAAUAUUAUGUGUAUUUUGAAUAUUAUAAUCCCUGUUAUUGUCCACAAAGAAUAAUGUUUUAUGCUCAAAAAUUGUGACUUUUGACCAUAACUGCUGUCCAGACAAAAAAAAACUUAUUUUUUAUAUUGGUUUACAAAUUAAUGAAGAGCACAAAACAUGUUUAGAAGCAAUGCAUUAGACACACAUAAUGUCAAAAAAAGUGCUGUCACAUUAUGGUUUGUAUGAUUUAUAUGCUCCUAAUCCAGUUUUGUCCUUUCUCCUAGUGAUGUGACAAAUUUCAUGUUUCCUUUAAUGGAUUAAAAUUGGUCACUGAAAAUUGUGCACAUCUAACACAGUUUGUGUGGUUGUUUCGAGCCUUUAUUCGCUGACUGGUAGUUGUUGCAUUUUUAGGCUGUCAUUUUUACUUUUAUGAACUUUACUAUGUGUGUUUUGAGAAGCAAUUAUUCUUCUGCAUACUGAGAAUCCAUUUUCAUAUAUUUAUGUGACAUUUAUUUUAAUCUACUGUCUUUACAAGAGUGUUUGUUCUUGGUGAAAAUGUACAUAGUCAUGACUACACACAGAAUACUGCUUUACCUUGUGAGUUGUAUACUUAUUCCAUCCACCCAUCCAUCUUCUUCCGCUUAUCCGGGGCCGGGUUGCGGCGGCAGCAGCCUAAGCAGGGAAGCCCAGACCAAACACCAAGACAUGUCCUGGGUCUCUCCCAGGGCCUCCUCCCGGUUUUAUUCUUAUUUUACUUUGUUAUUGCAACACUUGAAGUUAUAGAAUAUGCUUUAGGGAUACAAUAUAUCUCAAGAUUAUAUAUGAGACAUGACAUUAUACAGUGCCCUGUUUUUCUUUAAAGAUACUGUUUGUAAGUGCUUGUGUUUAAAUUAAAGCUUCCAAAAUACAUUAAAA
Molecule: RNA transcript, 2290 nt
Organism: Oreochromis niloticus (Nile tilapia)
Lineage: Eukaryota; Metazoa; Chordata; Actinopteri; Cichliformes; Cichlidae
Gene name: secretory phospholipase A2 receptor
Exons: 5
Source: RefSeq, a predicted model, not a curated record